RNAcentral lists this ribosomal RNA (253 nucleotides) under uncultured bacterium. RNAcentral describes it as "partial 16S ribosomal RNA". It matches the Rfam family "Bacterial small subunit ribosomal RNA", at positions 524 to 776 of the family's 1533-position model. The record is from RNAcentral.
UACGGGGGGGGCAAGCGUUGUUCGGAAUUACUGGGCGUAAAGGGCUCGUAGGCGGCCAACUAAGUCAGACGUGAAAUCCCUCGGCUUAACCGGGGAACUGCGUCUGAUACUGGAUGGCUUGAGAUUGGGAGAGGGAUGCGGAAUUCCAGGUGUAGCGGUGAAAUGCGUAGAUACUGGGAGGAACACCAGUGGCGAAGGCGGCUACCUGGACCAACACUGACACUGAGGAGCGAAAGCCAGGGGAGCAAACGGG